This 473-nucleotide ribosomal RNA is filed under the name uncultured organism. RNAcentral describes it as "partial 16S ribosomal RNA". It matches the Rfam family "Bacterial small subunit ribosomal RNA", at positions 333 to 797 of the family's 1533-position model. The record is from RNAcentral.
ACACUCCUACGGGAGGCAGCAGUGGGGAAUUUUGGACAAUGGGCGAAAGCCUGAUCCAGCAAUGCCGCGUGAGUGAAGAAGGCCUUCGGGUUGUAAAGCUCUUUUGUCAGGGAAGAAACGGUGAAAGCUAAUAUCUUUUGCUAAUGACGGUACCUGAAGAAUAAGCACCGGCUAACUACGUGCCAGCAGCCGCGGUAAUACGUAGGGUGCAAGCGUUAAUCGGAAUUACUGGGCGUAAAGCGUGCGCAGGCGGUUUUGUAAGUCUGAUGUGAAAUCCCCGGGCUCAACCUGGGAAUUGCAUUGGAGACUGCCAGGCUAGAAUCUGGCAGAGGGGGGUAGAAUUCCACGUGUAGCAGUGAAAUGCGUAGAUAUGUGGAGGAACACCGAUGGCGAAGGCAGCCCCCUGGGUCAAGAUUGACGCUCAUGCACGAAAGCGUGGGGAGCAAACAGGAUUAGAAACCCCUGUAGUCCCA